RNAcentral lists this ribosomal RNA (463 nucleotides) under uncultured bacterium. RNAcentral describes it as "partial 16S ribosomal RNA". It matches the Rfam family "Bacterial small subunit ribosomal RNA", at positions 28 to 507 of the family's 1533-position model. The record is from RNAcentral.
GACGAACGCUGGCGGCGUGCUUAACACAUGCAAGUCGAACGGAAAGGCCUUUUCGGCGGUCCUCUAGUGGUGAACGGGUGCGUAACACGUGGGUGAUCUGCACUGCCCUCUGGGACAAGCCUGGGAACCUGGGUCUAAUACCGGUUAGGACCCCACUUUCGUGCGUGUGGUGGCAAGUGUUUUCGGUGUAGGAUGAGCGCGCGGCCUAUCAGCUUGUUGGUGGUGGAAUGGCCUACCAAGGCGGAGCCGGGUAGCCGGACAGAGGGGUUGUGCGGCGACAUUGGGACUGAGAGACGGCAGAGACUGGGACGGGUGGCCGCAGGGGGGAAUAUUGCACAAUGAGCGCAAGCCUGAUGCAGCAGGGCCUCGGGGGGGAUGACGCUUUUGUGGGUGUAGACACCUUUCGCCAGGGACGAAGCGUUUUGUGACGGUACCUAGAGAAGAAGCACCGGCUAACUACGUG